CUAGGCUUAGUUUUUGUUAAGACUGAGGAAGAGUGCAAAAAGAUAUUUGCAGAAGGUUUAGAUUAUAGAUUUUUAAAAGUUUAUGCUGAAGCUGUAACAAUGACUCCAAAUUGUGGACAAACUGCAAUUGAAAAUGAGAAUCAAUAUCAUAAUGAUAGUGCAGAUGAACCAUUGACUAUAGUUGCAUUUGAAAAUGCAAAUCAAAAUGAAACUGAACUU
Molecule: long non-coding RNA, 219 nt
Filed under: Ricinus communis (castor bean)
Lineage: Eukaryota; Viridiplantae; Streptophyta; Magnoliopsida; Malpighiales; Euphorbiaceae
Description: long non-coding RNA (RCOM_LNC000364)
Source: RNAcentral